GUUGGCGGCGUGGAUUAGGCCUGCAAGUCGAGCGAGAACCCGCAAGGGGGACAGCGGCAAACGGGGUAGUAACGGGUAGGCGACGUACCCUUCGGUCGGGGAUAGCCACGGGAAACUGUGGGUAAUACCCGAUAAUCUCUUCGAGCGUGAUAGCUGGGAGAGCAAAGGUGUGAUUCCACCGGAGGAGCGGCCUGCUUCGUAUUAGCUAGUUGGUGAGGUAACGGCUCACCAAGGCGACGAUGCGUAGGGGGUGUGAGAGCAUGACCCCCACCACUGGGACUGAGAUACUGCCCAGACACCUACGGGUGGCUGCAGUCGAGAAUCUUCGGCAAUGGGCGCAAGCCUGACCGAGCGACGCCGCGUGUGGGAUGAAGGCCCUUGGGUUGUAAACCACUGUCAGAGGGGAUGAAGUGCCGGAGGGCAAUCUCUCC
Molecule: ribosomal RNA, 431 nt
Filed under: uncultured soil bacterium
Lineage: Bacteria
Description: bacterial SSU rRNA
Rfam family: Bacterial small subunit ribosomal RNA
Source: RNAcentral